RNAcentral lists this ribosomal RNA (492 nucleotides) under uncultured bacterium. RNAcentral's name for it is "partial 16S ribosomal RNA". It matches the Rfam family "Bacterial small subunit ribosomal RNA", at positions 29 to 507 of the family's 1533-position model. The record is from RNAcentral.
AGUGAACGCUGGCGGUAGGCCUAACACAUGCAAGUCGAACGGCAGCACAGUAAGAGCUUGCUCUUACGGGUGGCGAGUGGCGGACGGGUGAGGAAUACAUCGGAAUCUACUUUUUCGUGGGGGAUAACGUAGGGAAACUUACGCUAAUACCGCAUACGACCUACGGGUGAAAGCAGGGGAUCUUCGGACCUUGCGCGAUUGAAUGAGCCGAUGUCGGAUUAGCUAGUUGGCGGGGUAAAGGCCCACCAAGGCGACGAUCCGUAGCUGGUCUGAGAGGAUGAUCAGCCACACUGGAACUGAGACACGGUCCAGACUCCUACGGGAGGCAGCAGUGGGGAAUAUUGGACAAUGGGCGCAAGCCUGAUCCAGCCAUACCGCGUGAGUGAAGAAGGCCUUCGGGUUGUAAAGCCCUUUUGUUGGGAAAGAAAAUCAGCAGAUUAAUACCCCGCUGUUCUGACGGUACCCAAAGAAUAAGCACCGGCUAACUUCGUG